This 489-nucleotide ribosomal RNA is filed under the name Paralamyctes tridens. RNAcentral describes it as "partial 16S ribosomal RNA". It matches the Rfam family "Bacterial large subunit ribosomal RNA", at positions 1827 to 2600 of the family's 2925-position model. Lineage: Eukaryota; Metazoa; Arthropoda; Chilopoda; Lithobiomorpha; Henicopidae. The record is from RNAcentral.
UGUUUCCUGAAUUUUAAUGGGAAAUACAGCCUGCCCAAUGAGUAUUGAAUGGCCGCGGUAUUUUGACCGUGCGAAGGUAGCAUAAUAAUUAGUCUAUUAAUUGUAGACUGGAAUGAAUGGCUAGAUGAAGAGAAACUGUUUCUAUAUCAAUAUUGAAAUUUAGAUUUUUGUGAAGACGCUAAAAUAUAAUUAAAAGACGAGAAGACCCUUUUAAGCUUUACAAUUAUUACUUUAAAUAUAUAAGUAUAAUUUGUUGUGUUGGGGCGACAUCAGAAAAAAUAACUUUUGAUUAAAUUUAACUAAUAUAAAUGAAAAUUUUUUAAGAUCCACAAUUUGUGAUUGCAAGAAGAAGUUACUGAAGGGAUAACAGCGUAAUCUUAUCGGAGAGUUCUUAUUGAUGAUAAGGAUUGCGACCUCGAUGUUGAAUUAGGAUCCCUAAAAGGUGUAGCCGCUUUUUCAGGUAGUCUGUUCGACUAUUAAAAUCCUACA